CACCGCCCGUCACACUAUAGGAGCUAGCCAUGUUUGAAGUCAUUACCCUUAACCGUAAGGAGGGGGAUGCCUAAGGCUAGGCUUGCGACUGGAGUGAAGUCGUAACAAGGUAGCCGUACUGGAAGGUGCGGCUG
RNAcentral lists this ribosomal RNA (134 nucleotides) under Triticum aestivum (bread wheat). RNAcentral describes it as "rRNA SSU_rRNA_eukarya". It matches the Rfam family "Bacterial small subunit ribosomal RNA", at positions 1388 to 1520 of the family's 1533-position model. The record is from RNAcentral. Lineage: Eukaryota; Viridiplantae; Streptophyta; Magnoliopsida; Poales; Poaceae.